UGGGGAAUAUUGCACAAUGGAGGGAACUCUGAUGCAGCGACGCCGCGUGAGUGAUGAAGGAAUUCGUUUCGUAAAACUCUGUUCUAUGGGAAGAAAAGGACUGUACCAUAGGAGAAAGCUCCGGCUAAAUACGUGCCAGCAGCCGCGGUAAUACGUAUGGAGCGAGCGUUGUCCGGAAUUAUUGGGCGUAAAGGGUGCGCAGGCGGCUUUACAAGUUGGAUGUGAAAUAUUGUGGCUCAACCACAAACGUGCAUCCAAAACUGCAAAGCUUGAGUUAAGGAGAGGUAAGUGGAAUUCCUGGUGUAGGGGUGGAAUGCGUAGAUAUCAGGAGGAAUACCGGUGGCGAAGGCGACUUACUGGACUUAAACUGACGCUCAGGCACGAAAGCGUGGGGAGCAAACAGG
RNAcentral lists this ribosomal RNA (404 nucleotides) under Fusobacteriota bacterium. RNAcentral describes it as "Fusobacteria bacterium partial 16S ribosomal RNA". It matches the Rfam family "Bacterial small subunit ribosomal RNA", at positions 355 to 776 of the family's 1533-position model. Lineage: Bacteria; Fusobacteriati; Fusobacteriota. The record is from RNAcentral.